CCUACGGGAGGCAGCAGUGGGGAAUUUUGGACAAUGGGCGAAAGCCUGAUCCAGCAAUGCCGCGUGCAGGAAGAAGGCCUUCGGGUUGUAAACUGCUUUUGUACGGAACGAAACGGUCCGCUUUAAUACAGUGGGCUAAUGACGGUACCGUAAGAAUAAGCACCGGCUAACUACGUGCCAGCAGCCGCGGUAAUACGUAGGGUGCGAGCGUUAAUCGGAAUUACUGGGCGUAAAGCGUGCGCAGGCGGUUAUAUAAGACAGUUGUGAAAUCCCCGGGCUCAACCUGGGAAUUGCAUCUGUGACUGUAUAGCUAGAGUACGGUAGAGGGGGAUGGAAUUCCGCGUGUAGCAGUGAAAUGCGUAGAUAUGCGGAGGAACACCGAUGGCGAAGGCAAUCCCCUGGACCUGUACUGACGCUCAUGCACGAAAGCGUGGGGAGCAAACAGGAUUAGAUACCCUGGUAGUCCACGCCCUAAACGAUGUCAACUGGUUGUUGGGUGCAUUAGUACUCAGUAACGAAGCUAACGCGUGAGUUGACCGCCUGGGGAGGACGGCCGCGAGUAGUUAACGUUACGUAAGAAGUUAGUACGGCGNGNGAGNGCGACGGACGACGACGAGGGAGGAGG
RNAcentral lists this ribosomal RNA (625 nucleotides) under uncultured bacterium. Its description in RNAcentral is "bacterial SSU rRNA". The stretch from base 1 to 541 matches the Rfam family "Bacterial small subunit ribosomal RNA", at positions 338 to 873 of the family's 1533-position model. The record is from RNAcentral.